UGAUUAUAAAUACAAUUUGAUUUACCGGAGUACUACGAAUAUAUGAUUUAAAACUCAAAGGGCUUGCGGUGCUUUAGAUUUCUCAGGGGAACUUGUUUCAUAAUCGAUAGUCCACGAUAUACCUGACCUUUUUUAGUUUAGCAGUAUGUAUACCGUCGUCGUCAGGUAACUUUUAAAAACAAAGAAGUUGGCAAGAAAAACUUAAUAAUUUUGGACGUCAGAUCAAGGUGCAGCCAAUAAAAAGGGGAGAAUGAGUUACAAUUAAAAUUUAUAUUAAUGGAAAAAAGCUUGAUAUAGUUUUCUCG
Molecule: ribosomal RNA, 305 nt
Filed under: Ifremeria nautilei
Lineage: Eukaryota; Metazoa; Mollusca; Gastropoda; Provannidae
Description: partial small subunit ribosomal RNA
Source: RNAcentral